CCUACGGGGGGCGGCAGUGGGGAAUAUUAGUUAAUGUGCGAAAGCGCGAACUAGCAACGCCGCGUGUGCGAUGAAGGCCUUCGGGUUGUAAAGCACUUUUCCAGAGGACGAGGAAGGACGGUACUCUGGGAAUAAGCAUCGGCUAACUCCGUGCCAGCAGCCCCGGUC
RNAcentral lists this ribosomal RNA (168 nucleotides) under uncultured bacterium. RNAcentral's name for it is "partial 16S rRNA". It matches the Rfam family "Bacterial small subunit ribosomal RNA", at positions 338 to 522 of the family's 1533-position model. The record is from RNAcentral.